RNAcentral lists this ribosomal RNA (253 nucleotides) under uncultured bacterium. RNAcentral describes it as "partial 16S ribosomal RNA". It matches the Rfam family "Bacterial small subunit ribosomal RNA", at positions 524 to 776 of the family's 1533-position model. The record is from RNAcentral.
UACGUAGGGUGCAAGCGUUAAUCGGAAUUACUGGGCGUAAAGCGUGCGCAGGCGGUUAUGCAAGACAGAGGUGAAAUCCCCGGGCUCAACCUGGGAACUGCCUUUGUGACUGCAUGGCUAGAGUACGGCAGAGGGGGAUGGAAUUCCGCGUGUAGCAGUGAAAUGCGUAGAUAUGCGGAGGAACACCGAUGGCGAAGGCAAUCCCCUGGACCUGCACUGACGCUCAUGCACGAAAGCGUGGGGAGCAAACAGG